Non-coding RNA from Drosophila kikkawai, 553 nucleotides. NCBI's taxonomy places the organism in Eukaryota, Metazoa, Arthropoda, Insecta, Diptera, Drosophilidae. The record is from RefSeq and is a predicted model, not a curated record.
AAUCCAAGUCAGCAAGCUCAUGUCAUGGAGUCCAUGGAGCCUGAAAACAUUUUUCAUUCUCGUCUCUGUUCUCUAACGACAAACAUCUCUUCCAACGAAAACCAAAUUUUUUGGGGCUGAAAUCCCAUUUCCGUAAACAGGCAAAUAAUAGCAAGAUGUGCAACCCCGGAAUGGGCUCGAUGUCUGGUACCUGCUGCGGACCGACUGGCGGACUCGGACCCUGCUUGCUGUGCGGUCCCUACAACGGCCAGUGGUUCAAGUCCAUCAACCACUGCUGCGGUCCCUGCGGGCCCUAUGGCUGCUGUUCCUGCUACGGGCCAUCCGGCGGACACUGUUAGCUGGAACGAAGGAUUUUUUCACCUCUUGUACUACUGGGUGUCCCACAUUAUAGCCAGUGCAGCGAUGAAAGAGAUGACUGGGCCGAGGUGGAGCCAAGAAAUUUGUGUUUUCCAGAAAUUGUUGGGGACAGAGCUCAAUGGAAUCUGUAAUUUAGAUCCAAAAGUUAAUAAAUUCCACGUAUACUUUUAAAAUAAAGGAUCAACUAUCAAACUAA